Molecule: ribosomal RNA, 460 nt
Filed under: uncultured bacterium
Lineage: Bacteria
Description: partial 16S ribosomal RNA
Rfam family: Bacterial small subunit ribosomal RNA
Source: RNAcentral
CCUACGGGAGGCAGCAGUGAGGAAUAUUGGUCAAUGGACGAGAGUCUGAACCAGCCAAGUAGCGUGAAGGAUGACUGCCCUAUGGGUUGUAAACUUCUUUUAUAUGGGAAUAAAACGUUCCACGUGUGGGAUUUUGUAUGUACCAUAUGAAUAAGGAUCGGCUAACUCCGUGCCAGCAGCCGCGGUAAUACGGAGGAUCCGAGCGUUAUCCGGAUUUAUUGGGUUUAAAGGGAGCGUAGGUGGAUUGUUAAGUCAGUUGUGAAAGUUUGCGGCUCAACCGUAACAUUGCAGUUGAAACUGGCAGUCUUGAGUACAGUAGAGGUGGGCGGAAUUCGUGGUGUAGCGGUGAAAUGCUUAGAUAUCACGAAGAACUCCGAUUGCGAAGGCAGUUCACUGGACUGCAACUGACACUGAGGCUCGAAAGUGUGGGUAUCAAACAGGAUUAGAUACCCGUGUAGUC